Molecule: long non-coding RNA, 270 nt
Organism: Acyrthosiphon pisum (pea aphid)
Lineage: Eukaryota; Metazoa; Arthropoda; Insecta; Hemiptera; Aphididae
Exons: 2
Source: RefSeq, a predicted model, not a curated record
AUAAAUUGUCUGAAAUAAGUUUAAACUUUCAACGAACCGAGAUCAAACUUAUGAAUUACCUGUCGGAACUUAUGACAUAUAUUUGGAUAAUGAACCUAUUUUGCAAAAUGUUGAAUUUCUCGUCACAAGUUUCAAAUCUUCAGUCACUUCAAUACCUUUAAAGAUCUGAAACAGUAAACAAAUAUUUUUUUUUCUUAUUUUACUCUUAUUCAUAUAAUGUAUAUUAUAUUUAGGUUUAAAAAAUUGAGCAUUAUAAACAUUGUGAACAGC